CCUACGGGUGGCAGCAGUGAGGAAUAGUGGUCAAUGGACGCAAGUCUGAACCAGCCAUGCCGCGUGCAGGAAGACGGCUCUAUGAGUUGUAAACUGCUUUUGUAAGAGGGUAAACGCAGACACGCGUAGCUGUCUGAAAGUAUCGUACGAAUAAGGAUCGGCUAACUCCGUGCCAGCAGCCGCGGUAAUACGGAGGAUUCAAGCGUUAUCCGGAUUUAUUGGGUUUAAAGGGUGCGUAGGCGGUCGGAUAAGUUAGAGGUGAAAGCCCGCGGCUCAACGUCGGAAUUGCCUCUGAUACUGUUCGUCUUGAGUGUAGUUGCGGUAGGCGGAAU
RNAcentral lists this ribosomal RNA (332 nucleotides) under uncultured bacterium. RNAcentral's name for it is "partial 16S ribosomal RNA". It matches the Rfam family "Bacterial small subunit ribosomal RNA", at positions 338 to 667 of the family's 1533-position model. The record is from RNAcentral.